UUACGGCCGUAUCACGUUGAAUCACCAGUCCCCAUUCGAUCACCUAAGUUAAGCAAAGCCAAGCCUGGUCAGUACUUAGACGAAUGACCGCUGCAGAAUACUAGAUGCUGUAAG
This is a non-coding RNA of Acanthosepion pharaonis, 114 nucleotides long. The record is from the annotation of a GenBank genome assembly. NCBI's taxonomy places the organism in Eukaryota, Metazoa, Mollusca, Cephalopoda, Sepiida, Sepiidae.